AGAAGGGAAGCAAAAAUCAGCAAAUAAUAAAAAGAUAUGACAUGGUCCUUACUGAGCAGCUAGUUCAGCCAAAGCGAUCGGCUCUGGGGCAGAGGCGUUCUGCAGCAGAGCGGGGGAUUGAGACAGGCAGGACUGAGCUGCUCAGCAAGGUAGCGGAGCUUCGGGAGGAGGUGAGCAGGCUCAGGAGCAUUAGGGAGUCAGAGAGGGAAAUUGACUGGUGGAGGUGUACUCUACCCUCUCUGAGACAGACUCAGGAGCCUGCCACAGCACAGGUGUCUCCUGCUACGCAGAAGACAAAAGUUCCCUCAUCCCGCCAGGCAGUAGGAGGAGACCUAGGCCAAGGGGGGGAAUGGAGGCAGGUUCCUGUUCGGGGUGGUAGGCGAGCCCUGUCCCUGCCCACCUCACCUUCCCAUCUACCCUUAUAUAACAGGUAUGAGGGUGUAGAACACGACAGUCAGAACAACGAUGUAGAUGAAAGCCCGUCCCAGUUGGAGAGGGUGCCUAAGGCAAGGCAACUUAUCCCCCGCAUUGCUACAUCAACUGUCAAAAAAGAAAGGAGGGUUAUUGUCAUGGGGGACUCCCUUUUGAAAGGGACAGAGGGCCCAAUAUGCCGACCUGACCCUACCCACAGGGAAGUCUGUUGCCUCCCUGGGGCUCGGGUGAGAGACUUCACUAAGAAAGUCAAGUGCCUGGUACGGCCCACCGACUACUACCUGCUACUGGUCUUUCAGGCUGGUAAUGACGAGGUAGCAACGAGAAGUCUGAGAGUGAUCAAAAGGGACUUUAGGGCUUUGGGGCGACUACUUAAAGGUUCAGGGGCACAGGUUGUGUUUGCCUCUGUCCUUCCAGUAGGGGGGAUCGAUGCUGACAAACAGACUCAUCACAUUAACACGUGGCUUCGGGACUGGUGCAACUGGCAGAAUUUCGGGUUUUUCUAUCACGGGAAGGUCUACGUGAAACCGGGCCUGCUGGCACCAGAUGGGACACGCCUCUCUCGGAGUGGGGUGAGGAUUUUUGCCCAGGAGUUGGCAGGGCUGAUAGAUAGGGCUUUAAACUUGAGUCGAAGCGGGAAAGGGAUAAAACCAGGCCCAACAGUGAUAAGCUAAGGGAUGGUGCGCUAGAAUCAGAGGGACUGUGUGCUAGUGAGGCCCUUUGGACGGCUCCACAAGGUGCUGCGUGUAGGGAGGCGCAUUUGAAG
This 1198-nucleotide long non-coding RNA is filed under the name Anser brachyrhynchus (Pink-footed goose). RNAcentral describes it as "lncRNA (ENSABRG00000022295.1)". Lineage: Eukaryota; Metazoa; Chordata; Aves; Anseriformes; Anatidae. The record is from RNAcentral.